Aedes aegypti (yellow fever mosquito) is the source of this 74-nucleotide non-coding RNA. The record is from Rfam. NCBI's taxonomy places the organism in Eukaryota, Metazoa, Arthropoda, Insecta, Diptera, Culicidae.
CCUCUCAUGGCGUAGUGGUUAACGCGCCCCAACUAGAGAUCGGGGAGUCGUGAGUUCGAUUCUAACUGAGAAGA